UCAGGUAUUUGUAUUAUAUUUUUUAUCUUGAAUGUUCAAUUUAAUGAGUCCAGGGUUCAUUAGUCUAAUUAAAGGUAAGACGUUGUUAACCUGACUUACCUUCACCUUAGAUAGUCUUAUAAUGAGAGGGUGGGAAGGUGUGGUGUGGGUAGGUUAGGUUAGGUCAGGUCAGCGUCAGUUUAGAUUAGGGUGGUUGAACUUAAGAUGAAAUAAGCAGGCUAAGCUUCAUGUGAUUUAGAGUUGUGUUAUUCCUUUGUUUAUGAAUGGAUGUGGGCGGAGCCUAGUAAGAGAAGUAACGCCCCAGUCACACUAAGCUCCGCCCAUCUUCACCCAGCCUGCAUAUAUGCCACUCCACCCAGCUUACUCGCUUCAGUUCUGGCCGAGUUUUUCGGAGGGUUACGCGUAUGGAUUUUAUUAAGUGGACACAUCAUGGAACGCCACUCACGCACUGAGUGUGGGGGAGAGAUGGAGUGCGACUCGAAUACAGAGUGUGACCCCAACACCGAGUGCAGUUCAAACCCAGAGUGUGAUGCUGAUGGGCUAACAGUCAUGGAUUACUUGCGGGAGAAUUUGCGGCCAGUGGUCAGGACAGAUACGUUCGGUGACCUCGAGUUUUUGAUAUGUGGGGCCCUUGUAAGAAAAGAAAAACAGAACCCAA
This 658-nucleotide unclassified non-coding RNA is filed under the name Homarus americanus (American lobster). RNAcentral's name for it is "uncharacterized LOC121855251, transcript variant X3". Lineage: Eukaryota; Metazoa; Arthropoda; Malacostraca; Decapoda; Nephropidae. The record is from RNAcentral.